GCCCGCGUCUGAUUAGCUAGUUGGUGGGGUAACGGCCUACCAAGGCGACGAUCAGUAGCUGGUCUGAGAGGAUGAUCAGCCACACUGGGACUGAGACACGGCCCAGACUCCUACGGGAGGCAGCAGUGGGGAAUAUUGGACAAUGGGCGCAAGCCUGAUCCAGCCAUGCCGCGUGAGUGAUGAAGGCCUUAGGGUUGUAAAGCUCUUUUAUCCNNNACGAUAAUGACGGUACCGGAGGAAUAAGCCCCGGCUAACUUCGUGCCAGCAGCCGCGGUAAUACGAAGGGGGCUAGCGUUGCUCGGAAUCACUGGGCGUAAAGGGCGCGUAGGCGGNGUUUUAAGUCGGGGGUGAAAGCCUGUGGCUCAACCACAGAAUGGCCUUCGAUACUGGGACGCUUGAGUAUGGUAGAGGUUGGUGGAACUGC
RNAcentral lists this ribosomal RNA (424 nucleotides) under uncultured bacterium. RNAcentral's name for it is "bacterial SSU rRNA". It matches the Rfam family "Bacterial small subunit ribosomal RNA", at positions 229 to 670 of the family's 1533-position model. The record is from RNAcentral.